RNAcentral lists this long non-coding RNA (265 nucleotides) under Homo sapiens (human). RNAcentral describes it as "non-protein coding lnc-C12orf43-4:1". Lineage: Eukaryota; Metazoa; Chordata; Mammalia; Primates; Hominidae. The record is from RNAcentral.
AUGAAGGCACAGCCCUCGUUAAUGGGAUUAGUGCCCUUAUAAAAGAGGCCCAAAAGUGCUUGUUAGCCUAUUCUACCAUGUGAGGAUGCACCGAGAACCUGCCAUCGAUGAAGCAGAGUGAGUCCUCACCAGACAGAAUCUACUGGCACCUGAAUCUUGGACUUCCCUGUCUCUAGAGCUGGAAGAAACACAUUUCUGUUGUUUACAAUUACCUAGUCUAAGGUAUUUUGUUAUAGCAGCCCAAAUGGACUAAUUUUUCCUUUUC